AGCAUAUAUACACGUGGUGAGUUAAUGCACGAGUUGACGAUUCUCUUAUUUUAUUAUAGUGCCAGUCUCAGUAUAUAGUUAUAUUUGUACCUAAUUGUUAAUUAUUGUGGAAAUAAUAAGUUUGAAUUUGGAAAACUUGAAUGACUUAGGUAAGUGUCAUGUUAUUUGAGCAAAGGUUUAAUCUAUUAAAAAAACUCAAAACACUGUGGGCCAAUGAUACUGCUGUUCUACUUACACCUAUAGAUGUUACAGACGAAAAUGACACGCAAGUUAUUAUUGACAAUAAUGAUGAAGUUGUAUUUGAAUAUGACACUCAAGUUAUUAUUGAAAGUAAUGAUAAAGUUGUAUUUGAAAAUGACACGCAAGUUAUUAUUGAAAGUAAUGAUGAAGUUGUAUUUGAAAGUGAAAAUAAGCUGUGUGGUGAGGUGGUUCGUCAAGAGAUAAGUAGGGUAGAUAACGUGGAGGGGAAUAUACAAGAGAAAAUGAACGUCCUAUUAGUCACCAAACUCUUCAAAUGAACGAUGUUGCUUUGUCGACAAUUAAAAUGCCAGUGGCAGUAAAGAAACGAGGACGCCCAAAAGGACAAGGCCUGACAACAAUAGGGCUACCAAAGGAAAAGAAAAGGAACCCCAAAACAUUUCCAAAUAAAUCCAGGGUUCCAUUCCAAAGAAAGGAUUCAAUUUCUAUAUUUUUUUCUUCUUAGUUUACAACAGGUUUUACAAUAAAUAAAGACUAAUUUUGGACUAAUUUAAUUAUGUAUUUAUCAUUACCCAUAAUUAAAAUACGUUUUAAUACUUCAAUUUGUUUUCUUUUUCGUUUAUAAGAAAAUCUUCUAAUAUUAAUAAAUUCUUUAUCAGAAAUUGAUACUAAGAUGGCCAGCCUCCAAGCGAACGGCAGCCGAAGAAAAUGCCGUCAAAUGCAUCAUAAGAAUGACACCAUAGCAUAGCUGUUAACGGCAUUAUAGUGCACCACCGUUUGACGGCAGUUUAAGUACAGCGUUUUUAUUAACUUAAAUGUGUGGUGUUACUAUAAAAAAUACUAACAAUUCAGUAAUAAGUAUACAUACAAUUUCACUAACUCACAUAGGUACCUAUGUAGUAAUAACACGGUAUAAGUAGUCACUUCUGUCGGCACUCCCUAAGUGCGACGCACCGUUAUUUAUUGUCUUUCGUUUUUGAAAUCUAUAUCUAGGUAUAUAAAUAUAAUAAAAAUAAAUUAAAC
Molecule: long non-coding RNA, 1221 nt
Organism: Diabrotica virgifera virgifera (western corn rootworm)
Lineage: Eukaryota; Metazoa; Arthropoda; Insecta; Coleoptera; Chrysomelidae
Exons: 2
Source: RefSeq, a predicted model, not a curated record